GUGCUCUCUUCAGCAGCACAUUUACUAAAAUUGGAACAAUAAAGAGAUUAGCAAGGCCCCUGCACAAGCGUGACACACAUUCGUGAAGCAUUCCACACACAA
Small nuclear RNA from Pipistrellus kuhlii (Kuhl's pipistrelle), 102 nucleotides. NCBI's taxonomy places the organism in Eukaryota, Metazoa, Chordata, Mammalia, Chiroptera, Vespertilionidae. The record is from RefSeq and is a predicted model, not a curated record.